AGUGAACGCUGGCGGUAGGCCUAACACAUGCAAGUCGAACGGCAGCACAGUAAGAGCUUGCUCUUACGGGUGGCGAGUGGCGGACGGGUGAGGAAUACAUCGGAAUCUACUUUUUCGUGGGGGAUAACGUAGGGAAACUUACGCUAAUACAGCAUACGACCUACGGGUGAAAGGAGAGGAUCUUCGGACCUUGCGCGAAUGAAUGAGCCGAUGUCGGAUUAGCUAGUUGGCGGGGUAAAGGCCCACCAAGGCGACGAUCCGUAGCUGGUCUGAGAGGAUGAUCAGCCACACUGGAGCUGAGACACGGUCCAGACUCCUACGGGAGGCAGCAGUGGGGAAUAUUGGACAAUGGGCGCAAGCCUGAUCCAGCGAUACCGCGUGGGUGAAGAAGGCCUUCGGGUUGUAAAGCCCUUUUGUUGGGAAAGAAAAGCAGCAGGUUAAUACCCCGCUGUUCUGACGGUACCCAAAGAAUAAGCACCGGCUAACUUCGUG
Molecule: ribosomal RNA, 492 nt
Filed under: uncultured bacterium
Lineage: Bacteria
Description: partial 16S ribosomal RNA
Rfam family: Bacterial small subunit ribosomal RNA
Source: RNAcentral